GACGAACGCUGGCGGCGUGCUUAACACAUGCAAGUCGAACGGAAAGGCCCUGCUUUUGUGGGGUGCUCGAGUGGCGAACGGGUGAGUAACACGUGAGUAACCUGCCCUUGUCUUUGGGAUAACUUCAGGAAACUGGGGCUAAUAUCGGAUAGGAGCUCCUGCUGCAUGGUGGGGGUUGGAAAGUUUCGGCGGUUGGGGAUGGACUCGCGGCUUAUCAGCUUGUUGGUGGGGUAGUGGCUUACCAAGGCUUUGACGGGUAGCCGGCCUGAGAGGGUGACCGGCCACAAGGGGACUGAGAGAGGGCCCAGACGCCAACGGGAGGCAGCAGGGGGGAGUAUUGCACAAUGGGCGGAAGCCUGAUACAGAAGCGCCGCGUGCGGGAUGACGGCCUACGGGUUGUGAACCGCUUUCGCCUGUGACGAAGCGUGAGUGACGGUAAUGGGUAAAGAAGCACCGGCUAACUACGUG
This 468-nucleotide ribosomal RNA is filed under the name uncultured bacterium. RNAcentral's name for it is "partial 16S ribosomal RNA". It matches the Rfam family "Bacterial small subunit ribosomal RNA", at positions 28 to 507 of the family's 1533-position model. The record is from RNAcentral.